This 697-nucleotide long non-coding RNA is filed under the name Homo sapiens (human). Its description in RNAcentral is "HSALNT0369126". Lineage: Eukaryota; Metazoa; Chordata; Mammalia; Primates; Hominidae. The record is from RNAcentral.
AUCAGUAAUCCAUCCUAGAGGUGGUGUUCUUUUUAAGAAUUUGAGAAGGAAAACGUAGUUCCCAGCUACUUUUAUAUAAUUUGUGCCUUUAAAUGGCUCCAGUGAAAAGUAAGAUGUAAAUGCAGAUAAUUACAGAACUUACAUACAAAGAGUGUGUAAGAGGGGAAGGGAGAGUGAGAAACUCAGGCUUCACAGAGGUGACACUUGAAUUGGGGUUAAGUUGAAGAACAGACAAACUUAGACACAAAGCUAUGCAAAAAUUGUGAUGAACAAGGAAAAAGUAAGUUUGGAAAGGAAAGCACAGGUCAGAUUAUAUUUAUUCUCAGGAUUUUGGACUUUUUUAUUAGGGAAAUUUAAACAAGGGGAAUGAUCUUAUAUUUGUAUUCUAGAAAGAUUACUCUGGCAGCAGCAGUAUGAAGGAUGGCUUGUAGGAGAUAAGAGAAAUAUCUUAUCACCAGGGUAAACUCUCCUGUGGUAGGUAAAACUGUGGAGGUGCAUUAGAAUGCUCAAAAUGAGAAAGAGGCUAAGUAGUGCUCCCUGAAGAGCACCAUUAUUUCACAAGUUAGAGAGAAAAGACUCAAUGGAGACUUAAAAGACAAAACACAAAUAGGGAAACAAAGGGAGAUGCGGAGUUAUGGAAGCCAAGAGAGAAGUGGUUUAUGGUGUCAGAUUCUCAGAGGGGUCAGGUAAAAAAAAA